This 806-nucleotide ribosomal RNA is filed under the name Flavobacterium sp. RNAcentral describes it as "bacterial SSU rRNA". It matches the Rfam family "Bacterial small subunit ribosomal RNA", at positions 57 to 870 of the family's 1533-position model. The record is from RNAcentral. Lineage: Bacteria; Pseudomonadati; Bacteroidota; Flavobacteriia; Flavobacteriales; Flavobacteriaceae.
GCAGUCGAGGGGUAUAUUUCUUCGGAGAUAGAGACCGGCGCACGGGUGCGUAACGCGUAUGCAAUCUACCUUUUACAGAGGGAUAGCCCAGAGAAAUUUGGAUUAAUACCUCAUAGUAUAUCACAAUCGCAUGAUUGAGUUAUUAAAGUCACAACGGUAAAAGAUGAGCAUGCGUCCCAUUAGCUAGUUGGUAAGGUAACGGCUUACCAAGGCUACGAUGGGUAGGGGUCCUGAGAGGGAGAUCCCCCACACUGGUACUGAGACACGGACCAGACUCCUACGGGAGGCAGCAGUGAGGAAUAUUGGACAAUGGGCGCAAGCCUGAUCCAGCCAUGCCGCGUGCAGGAUGACGGUCCUAUGGAUUGUAAACUGCUUUUAUACGAGAAGAAACACUGCUUCGUGAAGCAGCUUGACGGUAUCGUAAGAAUAAGGAUCGGCUAACUCCGUGCCAGCAGCCGCGGUAAUACGGAGGAUCCAAGCGUUAUCCGGAAUCAUUGGGUUUAAAGGGUCCGUAGGCGGUUUGGUAAGUCAGUGGUGAAAGCCCAUCGCUCAACGGUGGAACGGCCAUUGAUACUGCCAGACUUGAAUUAUUAGGAAGUAACUAGAAUAUGUAGUGUAGCGGUGAAAUGCUUAGAGAUUACAUGGAAUACCAAUUGCGAAGGCAGGUUACUACUAAUUGAUUGACGCUGAUGGACGAAAGCGUGGGUAGCGAACAGGAUUAGAUACCCUGGUAGUCCACGCCGUAAACGAUGGAUACUAGCUGUUGGGAGCAAUCUCAGUGGCUAAGCGAAAGUGAUAAGUAUCCC